Molecule: non-coding RNA, 30 nt
Filed under: Mus musculus (house mouse)
Lineage: Eukaryota; Metazoa; Chordata; Mammalia; Rodentia; Muridae
Source: RNAcentral
UUUCCNGUAGUGCCUACUAUCUUAUUCUCC